This 374-nucleotide ribosomal RNA is filed under the name uncultured bacterium. RNAcentral's name for it is "bacterial SSU rRNA". It matches the Rfam family "Bacterial small subunit ribosomal RNA", at positions 521 to 896 of the family's 1533-position model. The record is from RNAcentral.
UAAUACGAAUGGGGCAAGCGUUGUUCGGAAUCACUGGGCUUAAAGCGUAUGCAGGUGGACUUACAAGUCAGGAGUGAAAUCCCUGGGCUCAACCCAGGAAUUGCUUUUGAAACUGUCAGUCUAGAAUCCCGGAGAGGUUAACAGAAUUCCGAGUGUAGAGGUGAAAUUCGCAGAUAUUCGGAGGAAUACCAGUGGCGCAAGCGGUUAACUGGACGGGCAUUGACACUCAGAUACGAAAGCGUGGGUAGCAAACAGGAUUAGAUACCCUGGUAGUCCACGCCAUAAACGAUGUGUGCUAGUUGUCGGAGCCUACGGUUUCGGUGACGCAGCGAAAGCGGUAAGCACACCGCCUGGGGAGUACGGUCGCAAGAUUA